This 4160-nucleotide ribosomal RNA is filed under the name Bursaphelenchus macromucronatus. Its description in RNAcentral is "partial miscellaneous RNA". Lineage: Eukaryota; Metazoa; Nematoda; Chromadorea; Rhabditida; Aphelenchoididae. The record is from RNAcentral.
UAAGUGGAGUAUUAUAUAGCGAAACUGCGAACGGCUCAUUACAACAGAUAUAAUUUACUAGUUCUUGUUUCUAUAUGGAUAACUGCGGUAAUUCUGGAGCCAAUACAUGCAUCAAGCCCUGGCCGUCCGGUUAGGGUGCAAUUAUUGGAGCAAAACCAGUCUCGUACUGUUUGCUAACUCAGGAUAAUUCUGCAUAUCGCAUGGUCUUGUACCGGCGAAGUUUCUUUCAAGUAUCUGCUUUAUCAACUAUCGUUGGUAGUUUAUUGGUCUACCAUGGUGUUGACGGGUAACGGAGAAUCAGGGUUUGACUCCGGAGAGGGAGCCUUAGAAACGGCUACCAUGUCUAAGGAUAGCAGCAGGCGCGAAAAUUACCCAAUAUCAAAACGAUGAGGUAGUGACGAGAAAUAACAAGAUCGUUCUCUUUGAGAUCGAUUAUUGGAAUGAGUACAAUCCAGAAAUUUUAACGAGUACCUACGAGAGGGCAAGUCUGGUGCCAGCAGCCGCGGUAAUUCCAGCUCUCGUAAUGUAUAGAAUUAUUGUUGCGAUUAAAAAGUUCGUAGUUGGAUUGCAACGCAGGUAUGGGUCCACCUUCUGGGUGCGUACUCAAUGCUUGCAUUUUGCAUGUUUUUGUGGCGUCGCUUCGGUGGCGUCAUGAUGCAUGCAGGAUUACUUUGAACGGCUCAAGUGCUUAAAGCAAGUCUUAUGACUGAAUACCGGUGCAUGGAAUAAUGGAACAAGGUUGUGGCUGAGUUUUAUUGGUUUUGUCGGCCAAAACAAUGGUUAACAGGAACAGCCGGGGGCAUUCGUAUCGCUGCGCGAGAGGUGAAAUUCGUGGACCGUAGCGAGACGUCCUACAGCGAAGGCAUUUGCCAAGAGUGUUUUCAUUAAUCAAGAACGAAAGUCAGAGGUUCGAAGGCGAUUAGAUACCGCUCUAGUUCUGACCGUAAACGAUGCCAACUGUCGAUCCGCUUGUGGAUUCUAUUCAUGAGCGGGGAGAUUUCCGGAAACGAAAGUUUUUCGGUUUCGGGGGAAGUAUGGUUGCAAAGCUGAAACUUAAAGGAAUUGACGGAAGGGCACCACCAGGAGUGGAGCUUGCGGCUUAAUUUGACUCAACACGGGAAAUCUCACCCGGCCAGUACAUCGUAAGGAUUGACAGACUGACAGCUCUUUCAUGAUUCGGUGAAUGGUGGUGCAUGGCCGUUCUUAGUUCGUGGAUUGAUUUGUCUGGUUUAUUCCGAUAACGAACGAGACUUUAACUAUUAAAUAGUGCGCAUGUUGCUUCGGCUGCGUGUGAUCACUUCUUAAAGGAAUUUGUGGUUUUCAACCUCAAGAAAUUGAGCAAUAACAGGUCUGUGAUGCCCUUAGAUGUUCGGGGCCGCACGCGUGCUACAAUGGUGGUAACAGCGUGAUUGUCCUUUUCCGACAGGAAUUGGCAAACAGUUGAGAUAUUAUUAUGGCUGGAAUUGAGUGUUGAAAUUUUCUCUCAUGAACGAGGAAUUCCAAGUAAAUGUGAGUCAUUAACUUGCAUUGAUUACGUCCCUGCCCUUUGUACACACCGCCCGUCGCUGCCCGGGACUGAGUUACUUCGAGAAAACUAGGGAUCGCUGGAGUUCGAUGUUUCGGCAUUGUCUUUGGUGAGAACUAGUUUAAUCGCAGUGGCUUGAACCGGGCAAAAGUCGUAACAAGGUAGCCGUAGGUGAACCUUCGGCUGGAUCAUUACCGAUCCUAUGACACACUUAUUCGUGCUCGUCACGAUGACAGUUCCGCACAGGCCCUCGGGUCUUGUGGGCUGUGAUGGUUUCGGCGUUUCGGCGUCGUUUCCUACCGAUUUUCACACGUGGGCCGCAAGGUUCUGCACGUGAACGGUGAAGUCUGGGUUUCUGUGCGCUGGUUGAGUCGACGUUUUACCGUGUUGACAGAUGAGACCAGCCGGCUGCUUGCCAYUCGUUGUGCGAGCGUAGGAUUGAAAAGCCCGAGCGGCUGCCCUGACAAACAUUCAUUUUACAUUUAUUUUGUUUAUGAAAAGAGUUCAAGUUACUCCGGUGGAUCACUUGGCUCGCGGGUCGAUGAAGAACGCAGUGAAUUGCGAUAAUAAGUACGAAUUACAGAUAUUAUGAGUACCAUGUUUUUGAAUGCAUAUUGCGCUCUUGGGCUUUGCUCUUGAGCAUAUCCGAUUCAGGGUGUGUUCCCAAACUCGAGUAGAAACGCCGUCUUGUUUUUCCGGUUUCUACACGUUUGAACAGUCGUCUCGCUUCGGUCCUGGUGAUUGGAGUUAGGCGGGUUGAGGAACGUUGAAACGCGGUGGCUUCGGCCCCGCGGCUUCAAGUAUUUGUUUGCUGCUGCUGUUUGCACGACAUCGGUUUCAACACGCUUCGGUCUUGUUUUGAGGUGUGUUGUUGGCCGGUCGCUCGUUCUAAACUGUUUGGAUGAUGGUUGCACAACAUGCCGUUAGGAUGUCUUAAUGAAAACUUUUGAAUCCUGGUUGUGUUACGCUGCUUCAUCUUGCUUCCGGGUGCCAUUCGGGCAGUGCGGCUACAUUUGGUUGAAACCACCUGAGUUGGGUAUGAUUACCUGCUGAACUUAAGCAUAUCAGUAAGCAGAGGAAAAGAAACAAACAUGGAUUCCCUGAGUAACUGCGAGUGAAACGGGAAGAGCCCAGCGCUAAAGGUUGGCGGCCUCGGCUGUUGACCGGUGUAGCGUAUAGAGCUUUCGUUCGUCUUGUCCUGGCUGGCUUAAGUCUCGUUGGAACGCGGCGGCCAAGACGGUUUUACCCCGGUAAAUCUGGCUGGACUUGAUGAGUGUUGGUUCUGGGAGUCGGGUUGUUUGGAAACGCAGCCCAAAGUUGGUGGUAAACUUCACCUAAGGCUAAAUACGACCGCGAGACCGAUAGAAAACAAGUACCGUGAGGGAAAGUUGAAAAGUACUUUGAAAAGAGAGUGCAAGAGAACGUGAAACCGGUGUAAUGGAAGCGAAUGGAGCCGACGUAUCUAGUGCGUAUUCAGCCUUCUGGGCGUGCGAUUGGGGUUUGUGUAUUUCCGCAAGGUGUACCUGGCUUCAUUGUCGUGCGUUCGGUUGGUGCAUUUGCGUACGGAGUGCGUCGGGUCGUGUGGUGUUGUCGGACGAAGCGUUUUUAGAGGACCCGGGUUUCGGCUUGGGAACCCUGAGGGCGUGGAGUUCGGUUGGCGCUGCGCGGCUUUGUGGAGACGUGGGUUUUUCGCGUGCCGCGGUGUCGAUUGGCUCGGUUUUGGUGGUACACAUGUGUGCAGCCAUUAUGGGGUUUGUCGGUGUUGUGGCGUGCUCUGCGUUCUUCCCGAUGUAUAGUCGGUGACCCAUUCGACCCGUCUUGAAACACGGACCAAGGAGUUUAUGGUAUGCGCGAGUCAUUGGGUUUUGAAGCCUAAAGGCGUAAUGAAAGUGAGACAUUACUUGUCUGAACGUGACUGGGUGCGGCAUUCGUGCGGCCCAAGCAACGUUGCCCCGUUUCGAGGACUUGUCCUGAUGCGGAGGUUGAGCGUAUGCUAUGAGACCCGAAAGAUGGUGAACUAUGCCUGAACAGGACGAAGCCAGAGGAAACUCUGGUGGAAGUCCGAAGCGGUUCUGACGUGCAAAUCGAUCGUCUGAUUUUGGUAUAGGGGCGCAAGACUAAUCGAACCAUCUGGUAGCUGGUUUCCUCCGAAGUUUCCCUCAGGAUAGCUGGUGCACAUUCGAACAGAUAUACUCGGUAAAGCGAACGAUUAGAGUUCUUGGGAUGUAUUAUUCUCAGACUAUUCUCAAACUCUAAAUGGUUAUGAUGUUGGUGUUGCUUAAUUGAACACUGACUUUGAUUGUUGUGCUCCAAGUGGGCCAUUUUUGGUAAGCAGAACUGGCGAUGUGGGAUGAACCAAACGCGGAGUUACGGUGCCUAACUAUUCGCUCAUGAGACCCCAUGAAAGGUGUUGGUUGAUAUAGACAGCAGGACGGUGGCCAUGGAAGUCGGAAUCCGCUAAGGAGUGUGUAACAACUCACCUGCCGAAUCAACUAGCCCUGAAAAUGGAUGGCGCUCGAGCGAAUGACCUAUACUCUGCCGUCGUUGAGACUUGUGCAAUCUCUCGACGAGUAGGAGGUACGUCGUAAUGGCGUUGAAGUUGUUGGGCGUGAGCCCGAAUGGAGCCGUUAUGAGU